GAUGAACGCUGGCGGCGUGCCUAAUACAUGCAAGUCGAGCGAACAGACGAGGAGCUUGCUCCUCUGACGUUAGCGGCGGACGGGUGAGUAACACGUGGAUAACCUACCUAUAAGACUGGGAUAACUUCGGGAAACCGGAGCUAAUACCGGCUCAUAUAUUGAACCGCAUGGUUCAAUAGUGAAAGACGGUUUUGCUGUCACUUAUAGCUGGAUCCGCGCCGCAUUAGCUAGUUGGUAAGGUAACGGCUUACCAAGGCGACGAUGCGUAGCCGACCUGAGAAGGUGAUCGGCCACACUGGAACUGAGACACGGUCCAGACUCCUACGGGAGGCAGCAGUAGGGAAUAUUCCGCAAUGGGCGAAAGCCUGACGGAGCAACGCCGCGUGAGUGAUGAAGGUCUUCGGAUCGUAAAACUCUGUUAUUAGGGAAGAACAAAUGUGUAAGUAACUAUGCACGUCUUGACGGUACCUAAUCAGAAAGCCACGGCUAACUACGUG
This 497-nucleotide ribosomal RNA is filed under the name uncultured bacterium. RNAcentral's name for it is "partial 16S ribosomal RNA". It matches the Rfam family "Bacterial small subunit ribosomal RNA", at positions 28 to 507 of the family's 1533-position model. The record is from RNAcentral.